Molecule: ribosomal RNA, 253 nt
Filed under: uncultured bacterium
Lineage: Bacteria
Description: partial 16S ribosomal RNA
Rfam family: Bacterial small subunit ribosomal RNA
Source: RNAcentral
UACGUAGGGGGCAAGCGUUGUCCGGAUUCAUUGGGCGUAAAGCGCGUGCAGGCGGCUGGGUAAGUUGGAUGUGAAAUCUCCUGGCUCAACUGGGAGAGGCCGUUCAAUACUACCUGGCUUGAGGGCGACAGAGGGAGGUGGAAUUCCGGGUGUAGUGGUGAAAUGCGUAGAUAUCCGGAGGAACACCAGAGGCGAAGGCGACCUCCUGGGUCGUACCUGACGCUGAGAUGCGAAAGCUAGGGGAGCAAACGGG